Molecule: ribosomal RNA, 500 nt
Filed under: uncultured Paraglomus
Lineage: Eukaryota; Fungi; Glomeromycota; Glomeromycetes; Paraglomerales; Paraglomeraceae
Description: bacterial SSU rRNA
Rfam family: Eukaryotic small subunit ribosomal RNA
Source: RNAcentral
CCAAUAGCGUGUAUUAAAGUUGUUGCAGUUAAAAAGCUCGUAGUUGAACUUCAGGCCUGUCCAGAUGGUCCGCCUUAAUUUGUGUGUACUGUCCUUGGGUGGGUCCUACCUUCUGGCGAAGCGGCAUGGCCUUAGUUGGUUGUGUCGGGGAAGCAGGACUUUUACUGUGAAAAAAUUAGAGUGUUCAAAGCAGGCAUAUAUGCUCGCAUACAUUAGCAUGGAAUAAUGGAAUAGGACGAUGGUUCUAUUUUGUUGGUUCUAGGACCGUUGUAAUGAUUAAUAGGGAUAGUUGGGGGCAUUAGUAUUCAAUUGUCAGAGGUGAAAUUCUUGGAUUUAUUGAAGACGAACUACUGCGAAAGCAUUUGCCAAGGAUGUUUUCAUUAAUCAAGAACGAAAGUUAGGGGAUCGAAGACGAUCAGAUACCGUCGUAGUCAUAACCAUAAACUAUGCCGACUAGGAAUCGGGCGAUGUUGACAAAAUGACUCGCUCGGCACCUCAUG